RNAcentral lists this ribosomal RNA (1431 nucleotides) under Ceratomyxa xanthopteri. Its description in RNAcentral is "SSU rRNA". It matches the Rfam family "Eukaryotic small subunit ribosomal RNA", at positions 366 to 1752 of the family's 1831-position model. The record is from RNAcentral. Lineage: Eukaryota; Metazoa; Cnidaria; Myxozoa; Bivalvulida; Ceratomyxidae.
GGAAUCAGGGUUCGAUUCCGGAGAGGGAGCCUGAGAAACGGCUACCACAUCCAAGGAUGGCAGCAGGCGCGCAAAUUACCCAAUCCAGACAUUGGGAGGUAGUGACGAGAAAUACUGGGGGCGCUCCUAGUGAGCGCCAUCCGGAAUGAACGUAACACAAAAAAUUCGAUGAGGAUCUACUGGAGGGCAAGUCUGGUGCCAGCAGCCGCGGUAAUUCCAGCUCCAGUAGUGUAUAUCAACAUUGUUGUGCUUAAAACGCUCGUAGUUGGAUUACAGAGCCUCAAACAGGCCGGUCGACUAGUUUGGUUGGUCUGGUCUCGCAAAGCCAAGACUGGUGGAGCGAGGUGGGGCUCUUUUGUCGCGCUGGCUCUGGCCGGAGUCUUUGUUGGCUCCAGCCAAUGGCCGGCGGAGUGUGCCUUGAAUAAAGCAUAGUGCUCAAAGCAGGCGAACGCUCGUAUGUAAUAGCAUGGAACGAAUAAAUUGACCGGGACCGGGUUGGUCGAGGCGAGAGCCGCGGCGGCCCGGGACUAGGCUCGAUCAGUGUUGGUUGGAGCUGCGGUCUCAACAGUUAACAGGGACACCUGAGGGCACUAGUACUUUGUGGCGAGAGGUGAAAUUCUUAGACCCACAAAAGACUGACUACUGCGAAAGCAUUUGCCAAGAGUGUUUUCAUUAAUCAAGAACGAAGGUCAGAGGAUCGAAGACGAUCAGAUACCGUCCUAGUUUUGACAGCAAACUAUGCCAGCAUAGGGUUGGAGCGGUCGCUGCUUAACAGGCAGUCGAAUCACUGCAGGCCUUAAGGGAAACCUAGCUUUCGGGCUGCUGGGAGAAUAUCGCUGCAAGGCUGAAAUUUAAAGAAAUUGACGGAGAGGCACCACCAGGAGUGGAGCCUGCGGCUUAAUUUGACUCAACACGGGGAAACUCACCAGGUCCAGACAUUGGUAGGAUUGACAGACUGGUAGAUCUUUCAUGAUUCGGUGAAUGGUGGUGCAUGGCCGUUCUUAGUUGGUGGAGUGAUCUGUCAGGUCUAUUCCGGUAACGAGCGAGACCACGGCCUUUAGUUACUGGUCUGCGGAGCUUCGCGCCCUGCAUGUACCUAGCUAGAGGGACUAUUGGUGUUUUAAACCAGGGGAAGCGUGGCAAUAACAGGUCUGUGAUGCCCUUCGAUGUCCUGGGCUGCACGCGCGCUACAAUGGCAGCAGUAGAAAGUGUCGACUGGCCAGAGAUGGCUGGUAAAACUGUAAAUGGCUGUCGUGAUUGGGAUUGAGCCUUGUAAUUAUUGCUCAUGAAAGAGGAAUUCCUCGUAAGCACGAGUCAUCAGCUUGUGUUGAAUACGUCUCUGCCUCUUGUACACACCGCCCGUCGCUACUACCGAUUGAAUUGCUUCUAAAGCUGGCUGGACCGGACCUGUACCUUGUGUGCAGGCUGGGA